Molecule: ribosomal RNA, 588 nt
Filed under: uncultured bacterium
Lineage: Bacteria
Description: partial 16S ribosomal RNA
Rfam family: Bacterial small subunit ribosomal RNA
Source: RNAcentral
UGGGGAAUAUUGCACAAUGGGCGCAAGCCUGAUGCAGCCAUGCCGCGUGUGUGAAGAAGGCCUUCGGGUUGUAAAGCACUUUCAGCGAGGAGGAAGGUGGUGAGCUUAAUACGCUCAUCAAUUGACGUUACUCGCAGAAGAAGCACCGGCUAACUCCGUGCCAGCAGCCGCGGUAAUACGGAGGGUGCAAGCGUUAAUCGGAAUUACUGGGCGUAAAGCGCACGCAGGCGGUUUGUUAAGUCAGAUGUGAGAUCCCCGGGCUCAACCUGGGAACUGCAUUUGAAACUGGCAAGCUAGAGUCUCGUAGAGGGGGGUAGAAUUCCAGGUGUAGCGGUGAAAUGCGUAGAGAUCUGGAGGAAUACCGGUGGCGAAGGCGGCCCCCUGGACGAAGACUGACGCUCAGGUGCGAAAGCGUGGGGAGCAAAACAGGAUUAGAGUACCCUGGUAGUCCACGCUGUAAACGAUGUCGAUUGGAGGUUGUGCCCUUGAGGCGUGGCUUCCGGAGCUAACGCGUUAAAUCGACCGCCUGGGGAGUACGGCCGCAAGGUUAAAACUCAAAGGAAUUGACGGGGUCAUAGCUGUUUCCUG